GAUGAGAGUAUUAAGAAUGAUUGGAAGCAUUUUUGGACAGAAUAGGUCAUAGGUAUCCAAAAACCUCAUCCACAUGAUCACAAAAUGCAUCGUUACUACCGAUUUAAAUCUGUAAAAACGAAAAACAAAAAAUAAAAAACUCAGAAGCACUUACCUAGAUCUGUUAUCCAAAGUGAUUGAGAAAUUAAUAUAUACAAGUUUAACAUAAACGUAUUAUACCUCCGUCGUCGUCAUUCGUCAACAAAUUUCUCAAAAGCUUCCAAAACAGUGCAUCCGUCUCCGUGAAGACAUAUAGUCGAUAUGUUGGAGAAAACGAAACAGCUAUUUACCACGAAGUUUUAUUAUAUGCUUGGCUAAUUUAAAUAUUUAAUUAAUCAUAACUAGAUAUGCCAACGAAGUUAGUUAUCAACUAAAUGAAACCUGUGAAAAUGAUGACGAGAGAAAAGAAACGGAGGAGAGAUGAUGUUUACUUUAUUAGGCCAAUUAUGUCUUUUUUUGGCCCAAACAGUGGCCAUAGUACACCAUGAAAUGGAAAGUGUGUUUUUUGUAAAGGCUACCCUUCAAAGUGUGUCAAUAAGUAAUUCACCCUUUUUUGUAGGCUUGGGCUACUAUUCAAUAUUUUGUGACUAUUUUGCCCUCAUUAACUUCUUUCGAAACAAACUAAAAACCACAAAAAACAAUUGUCGUCCCUUUCUUCUUCUUCUUCUUAUCUUUUCCCCUUUCUCUAUCUUUGAUCGAUUGUUUUUUUUUCUCUUUUUGCAAAAUAAAACUCGUAAGAUCUCAAUCCCAACUAACAUGAUCAAACUCCCAUUAGUUUCUCCUUCAUCAUCAUCAUUAACAUACUCUCUAGUCAAACAUGUUCCCUCUAGUUCAAUAUCCAUCUACUCUUACAAGAUUGGGGCAGAGAAGCUGGAGCUUACCUAAACAAAUCUUUAGAUUUGUCGCCUUUUGCUUCAAUUCUAUUUCACCAUCUCAAUUUCUCUUUGUUUCCAAGCUCCUCCUUGUUUGCACCAAUUCUGAAGCACAAAUCUUCCCCACGUUCUGAACUCAUCAUUUGUAAUGAUAGAAUUGUUUUGCAAACAGAAAGGACCUUGGAACAAGCAUCAAUCACAGACACAUCUUUGAGAACUAAACGAGAUUUUCAAAGGUUGAAUGGUUGUUAUGGAUCUGAUCAUGUGGAUGAUGUGCAAUGGAUACUGAUCUACAAAAGCCAAAAGAACCAUUAGAAAAAAUUGAUAAUACAAAACUAAAUUAGAAACGAAAAGUAUGGUUGUCCACAUAACAUAUACUAUGUGGUUAUCUUUUCUCUUGAGGUACUUAUAAUUGUUAUCUGACUAAGUUAUGUUAUGUGUUUUUAUGCUACAAUCCAUAACAUGUCAUAGUAUCUUGUGAUUGCCAUUCGACUUAGUUGUGUUACACGAUAAUUAGUCCAUAAAGAUUUCAAAUUUUAAAUUACUGAUUAUAUAAUUUGAUUGAUCGUUUAGUUACGAAGACCAUAAAACAUUGUCUACAAUCUAAUUAAGUAGUUAAUGGUAGGUUGUAUCCAUAAUAAUAUGUUCGGUUAUACUUCACCACAAGUAGUUGAUGAACUAGAAAAAAAUCCAUGGAUACCUAAACAACAAAUAACUCACACAAAGUUUUCUAAUGAAGGUUGUGAUGGAUUCAUUGAAGGUGGAACUGUAGAUCUCUAUUGAAAACGACUUUAACUCGUCGACUGUCAAGAAGAAACAACCCCAAUCCACGAAAAUCAAAACAAAACUUAAACAAACCAUAUAAACCUUGAAAUUUGUAAAUAAUCUUGUCCACAAAAGCUUAUAAAUUUCAACACUUAGUACCAAAAUAUCACAAUUAAGUACAUAUAAUCUCAAAUAAGAAUAUAAUUUAGUAAAACCCAAGAAUCCAAAUCGAUUAAUCAUAGAACCCAAAAACUCAAAAUUUUCUCUAAUCGAAUCAAAUUUAAGAUUAAAAAUUUCAAAAGAUAACAAUCAAUCAUUAAAAUACCAAUCAAAUUAUGAAACCUCUUAUCAAAAUUCAUAGGAUCUUAAGAUUUCACCUACUUUAGAUCACAUCUUUGUUGAAAUGGUUAUUG
This 2089-nucleotide long non-coding RNA is filed under the name Capsella rubella. Its description in RNAcentral is "long non-coding RNA (CRUB_LNC003100)". The record is from RNAcentral. Lineage: Eukaryota; Viridiplantae; Streptophyta; Magnoliopsida; Brassicales; Brassicaceae.